GAGAUAACUCCUACGGGAGGCAGCAGUGGGGAAUAUUGCACAAUGGGCGGUAGCCUGAUGCAGCAACGCCGCGUGAGGGAUGACGGCCUUCGGGUUGUAAACCUCUUUUAGCAAGGAAGAAGCGAAAGUGACGGUACUUGCAGAAAAAGCGCCGGCUAACUACGUGCCAGCAGCCGCGGUAAUACGUAGGGCGCAAGCGUUAUCCGGAAUUAUUGGGCGUAAAGAGCUCGUAGGCGGUUUGUCGCGUCUGCUGUGAAAACCGGAGGCUCAACCUCCGGCCUGCAGUGGGUACGGGCAGACUAGAGUGCGGUAGGGGAGAUUGGAAUUCCUGGUGUAGCGGUGGAAUGCGCAGAUAUCAGGAGGAACACCGAUGGCGAAGGCAGAUCUCUGGGCCGUAACUGACGCUGAGGAGCGAAAGGGUGGGGAGCAAACAGGAUUAGAAACCCUAGUAGUCCUCCACU
RNAcentral lists this ribosomal RNA (461 nucleotides) under uncultured bacterium. RNAcentral describes it as "bacterial SSU rRNA". It matches the Rfam family "Bacterial small subunit ribosomal RNA", at positions 329 to 802 of the family's 1533-position model. The record is from RNAcentral.